GCAUGGUUGGAAUGUUUAUGCAAAGAGAAAUUCACGGUGCGCGAUCCUCCUGUCAGACUGAAAAAUGCCAACGAGUGUAAAAAAGUCCUGAUUGAUGGCUUGUACAUAGCACUGUCAAACACUUGCGCGUUUGACAGUGUGGUAACUAUUGUAGCAGCUGCUCUGCAAAACCAACCAGCUUAUAGAAAUGUAGCAGCAAAUCUCCGAUCAAAUCCCCUAAUGAACUUCUCAUUUUUGAUGAACCAAGGCAGUUCAGAUGAGAUGUUAUACGAACGGAGAGCUAGAAUUAUUUUAGAUGCUAGUUUAGGAGUUGACUCGCCAAAGGCGCCACAAGGUCAAAGGGCGAUUGAGUGUUACACAUUUGUGAGCAGAGUAUGCAGUUUGUACAUCUCGGCUUCAUCAGCAACCCGAAUAAGUGUCUGCAUAAGCACUACUUGCGGCCAAGUUGAAGAGGUGCCUGUUCCCUACAUCGAACCAAGUUUAGAUGGAAUCAUAGGAUGUGACAGAUGGUGCGCUCACAUUCCUGAGAUGAUAAGCAGCUGGGAAAUUUUGGGAGAGGAGAGGCAAUGCAAGAAAUGCUGUGCAGAUGGUUCUCUUGGCUACGUGGAACACGCUGUCACACUUGAAAUAGAGAUGACUGUAAACCGUGCCUUAUUUCUUCCUGAAACGAUAAGUAUCCAUUGUGUGGGUUCUUGUGACAUUCGUGUCCUUCCAGCUUUCUUGCCUCAGUAAUCAGGUAAAAAUACUGAAGGAAUCAUCUGGUGAAAAUCCCGAUUACUUUGUUUAUCAUUAUCGGAAAUGGCAGCGAGAUUACGGAGAUACAUCAUUACCAGAGGCAGGCUUACAUCUGUAAAUAUGUACUUACUCUACUUAUCAUUUUUAAUGAAACAAAUUCAUUCGUAAGUGACAAUUUUUUAGGUUUCAUCCUAUUUCACCACUGGAAGUUUUUUUUCCCUUCCUACUUCUUAACGAAUCUACUGUUGCUCAUAAUUUCACAUUUUUUUGCGGCACGCGUGCCCUAACCUCGACCAGUACCUUGACCUCGACCUGUGCCUCGUUGUCGUGUUGGAAGUGGAGCUUGCACUGGCUGGACUUGAAUUUGUACCACUGGCGGAGCUAGGGCUAUGACCGGGAGAGCAGGUGCUUGUACGGGGACAGAGUCUACGGGAUCUUCAUCAGAGUCUGAUGACGAUUCGCUUAGAAACUGACUCGGAGGGCCAACUGGUUCAUCUUCAUCUGAUUCAGAACUUAGUGGUAGAUCAUCAUCCAGUGCAUUCAAGAUAGCAUUAUUAUUCAGAGCCAUUUCCUAAAACAAAAUAUAGGGACUUUUCAGAUUGAAGCAAAACAGGUUUUAAGAUGGACGGAGUGUUUUCAAUACAGUAGGCAUAUCGGUGAAUGAAAGUUUUGAUGCUAGGUACUCCAGUCUUCAAAUGAGUUCACUAGGAUUCGAGCACAAAUUGAAAUAAAAUGAAACACAUCUGUGAAUACUAUCACUGUACCGCUAUCACUGAAUCACUGACAUAAUAAUUUCAUACCGCAUGGUAUUCUUGGCAAAUUGAUGGAGAAAUAGAUAGGUCUUAGGAAGCCGAUAAAGAGAACUUAAAAAAUAAGAAAUAAAGUUUGAAGCCUACCUUAUGUGUGUUGUUUACGCCAGAGUUAUACAAACCAGAAAAGUGGAGAAAUCUUCAAAAAAAAAAAAAAACUCAACUAGAUUGAAGAACACGUUCAUCUAAUCACAGAUUGACACUUUCUCUGUUUUUCACGAAAUAAAAGUAAUAAUACUAACUAUUUCUUGUAAAAAUAAGCUUAAAAAAAAUGCUAGAUAUUGUUAUCACAAAACAUCAACCUUUCAAAACAUGAACAUUACCUCAAAACCAAAACAAACAGGGUUACCAACUGUCUUUGUGAAUAAAACGUGAAAUACACCAGGGAAAACACGUCGGGGUCAAUCUGACCCCGCUCAGGCUUUUUAGGGGUACUCGUAAAUUUUUUGAUCUCUCAUGCACAUUUUUUUCCCCCUUCAAAAUCGUGUUCCUAGAUGUUUUUGUAGAGCUAUUUGUGAAGGACAAAAAAUUUCGUGCAUACCACGAGAAAUGGCAAAGAGUUGAAACUCCCGUGGGGUCAAUCUGACCCCACUCAGGCAGACUAGAGUUAAAAAUGACCUGAGCAACUCUCUUCGACCCGCUUUUUCUGUUAAGCGGCACUAAGUAUGCCAAUGAAAGAGCCUUCAGGACUGUUCGUGGUUCAAUGUUCCAAAUGAGAUACUAAUUGUUGAUUAACUUACCUAUCUGGUACUCCUGAAGAACGUGACGGAUUUGGCGUCUUAAGGCGAUGGUUUCGUUGUUUCCUCUAGCCCAUAGCUGCACAUUAUCAACUCACUUGCUAAACAAUCACAUCAUGAAGUUCCGCACAUGUGUUUCAUACACGAACAUUUACUGUCUAGAGGCAGUUAAGAUAGUGAAAUAAUGACACUUACACUUAUAUUUCGUAAUGACUUAUUUAUUCAUUACUCCACAAAUACACGGUAAGAAUACAGAGUUGAGUUACAAACGUUCCAGAAGCUUCAUGUUUAUCUAUUCAUUAAUCAGGAGAUCAUCACUGUGAUAUGCCCUUAUCGCAACACGCCUCCUUAAUUUGUGAGGAUACUUUAUCGUUAAAAAAUUUUUAACCUAAAGAUAUACAAAAGAAUAAUGAUCUGACCUAGAAAAAGUAUUUACAAUGUCGUUCCCAAUUACUCCCAUUUUGCAAGAUAAGUAACAAAGUGCACAAAAACUAGAAAUGUGUAUGAGAUUUAAACGGUCUUAUCUAUUAGGUAUUGUACACAUAAAGUGAAAGAAAUCUAAUCAAGUUCCGCAUGAUUUUAUCACUGAUAAGUUAGAUUAACAUUCAAUUUUCUGGAAAAAAUUGAAUU
This 2911-nucleotide long non-coding RNA is filed under the name Bemisia tabaci. RNAcentral describes it as "lncRNA ENSASIAIIG004061". Lineage: Eukaryota; Metazoa; Arthropoda; Insecta; Hemiptera; Aleyrodidae. The record is from RNAcentral.